UACAGAGACCUCAAGCGUUAUCCGGAAUCAUUGGGCGUAAAGCGUACCGAUAGGUGGUUUAUUAAGUCUUGGGUAAAAGCCGGAAGCUUAACUUCCGCGUUUGCUUAAGAUACUAAUAGACUAGAGGGGCAAAGAGGAGAUUGGAACCAACGGUGUAGUAGUGAAAUGCGUUGAUAUCGUUGGGAACACCGAAAGCGAAGGCAGAUCUCUGGGUGCCACCUGACACUGCUAGGACGAAAGCGUGGGGAGCGAAUGGG
This 257-nucleotide ribosomal RNA is filed under the name uncultured bacterium. RNAcentral describes it as "partial 16S ribosomal RNA". It matches the Rfam family "Bacterial small subunit ribosomal RNA", at positions 524 to 776 of the family's 1533-position model. The record is from RNAcentral.